ACGAACGCUGGCGGCGUGCCUAAUCCAUGCAAGUUGCGCGAUGAAGAUUGGUGCUUGCACCAAUUUGAAGAGCAGCGAACGGGUGAGUAACGCGUGGGGAAUCUGCCUUUGAGCGGGGGACAACAUUUGGAAACGAAUGCUAAUACCGCAUAACAACUUUAAACAUAAGUUUUAAGUUUGAAAGAUGCAAUUGCAUCACUCAAAGAUGAUCCCGCGUUGUAUUAGCUAGUUGGUGAGGUAAAGGCUCACCAAGGCGAUGAUACAUAGCCGACCUGAGAGGGUGAUCGGCCACAUUGGGACUGAGACACGGCCCAAACUCCUACGGGAGGCAGCAGUAGGGAAUCUUCGGCAAUGGACGAAAGUCUGACCGAGCAACGCCGCGUGAGUGAAGAAGGUUUUCGGAUCGUAAAACUCUGUUGGUAGAGAAGAACGUUGGUGAGAGUGGAAAGCUCAUCAAGUGACGGUAACUACCCAGAAAGGGACGGCUAACUACGUG
This 496-nucleotide ribosomal RNA is filed under the name uncultured bacterium. RNAcentral describes it as "partial 16S ribosomal RNA". It matches the Rfam family "Bacterial small subunit ribosomal RNA", at positions 29 to 507 of the family's 1533-position model. The record is from RNAcentral.